Molecule: ribosomal RNA, 2988 nt
Filed under: Drosophila serrata
Lineage: Eukaryota; Metazoa; Arthropoda; Insecta; Diptera; Drosophilidae
Description: eukaryotic LSU rRNA
Rfam family: Eukaryotic large subunit ribosomal RNA (bases 1792-2988)
Source: RNAcentral
AUUCUGCGAGGCGGCUUACGCCUCCCAUUCUUAGACCCCACUUGUCAGGCUAGACGGCUCCAGCAUAAGGUAUGCGAAACAGGUGAAGUACCUGGGUGUGACCGUUGGUGAACGGUUGCACUUCGCACCACACCUUGCCAAUCUGAAGGACCGACUGGUCAGUAUGGUUGGAAAAUUGCGCCGAGUUUGAGAAGCGAAUGGGGCCUCAGCAGGAGAGCUGUUCGCACCAUAUAUAGUGGUCUUUUUGUUGCUUGCGCAGCAAGCGGAUCACCUGUGUGGGGCGGCACAGCCUUGACUGUUUGGGGCAGAACGAAACUUUGUAGAGUGCAGAGAGUUAUUUGUUGGGGUGCAUGCCUGUGUGUCGCACUGUCUCUACGGAAGCACUGCAAGUCCUGUUUGGAGCAGUUCCCCUUGACUUGGAGAUACGGCGUAGAGCCGUAAGCUACAAGCUCAAGAAGGGGCUGCCAUUACUGCAGAAUGAGUGGCUGUAUCGUGAAAUGUCUGGGGGAACGUGGAGAGAUUAGGGCCAAGUGAAUGGAAGUCUAUGUUGCAUGAGUGUGUCCUGUCGGACUGGCAAGCCCGAUGGGAUGAUAGUGAGAAUGGGCGGGUCACUCACGAGUUCAUUCCAGAUGUCUCGUUUGUUGCCGACCGACCGGACUUUGGUUUUAACCUCAGUUCCGGGUUCCUGUUGACUGGCCAUGGAUCGUUGAAUGCAUUCUUGCAUAGCCGAUUCCUGGCAGACAGUCCGGAAUGCCAGUGUGGCUCGGGAGACGAGACCUGGAAACAUGUUCUCUGUGAGUGUCCGUUGUAUGAUGAUCUUCGGGAUCUGGGCGGGUUGGGUGUGAUUCAGGCUGGGGGGGACUUUGACUUUAGUCAAGUGCUUUCCACGAGCGAUAGGGUUGAUAGGUUGAAUGUGUUUGCGAGAGCCGUAUUCAGUCGUCGACGAAUGCGUUGAUUUGUAGAUGCCGGGAUGUUAGGGGGUGAAUGGUACGUGAAUCUGGGUCGAGUGAAUAGGUGUGGUAAGGUUCGCCGGGCUUCGCCCGCCGCCGGGGUGACCAGUCCCCGAGCUUCAUGGUAGCUGAAACUGGGAGUGCUUCUUUAGUUGCACGAACCUGACCAGAGGAUUUUUCUGGUACCACGGGUGAUGAGGAUAAACGAGAUGGUGCUCAAGAUCCGCCUUGUCACAAGCCCUUUGGGGUUGUUGGGAACAUAGCUGACCGCCUUCGAGCGGUCUGGUCACUGACCAGCAGCGAUUGCCGCGGUUUGCGGAAAGAGGAAGGAUAGUCCUCGCCUCCGAACAGUGAGAAAGCCAUGUCCAUGAACAUGGUGGAUAAAACUGUAACACCUUAUGAUUUGGCCUUGGCCAUCUCAUAAUCUAUUCCGAGCAGCUAUGCACUUUUUAUCCGGGGCCACCGACCCGUGACUGUUCUGGAGUCAAAAUCGGUAGUGUCCUUGUUGGCACGGCGCCUGACCGGAGGCUGUGAUAAUUUCUGGUACCACGGGAGCCAGCGCCCACGGAACUUGUUCCGUCCUGGCUAUGGUUGAGGCCCCUUAGGGAGCUACGUGGUGGUUGUGGUUUGUCACCCAAAUGCGGGUAGAGCCUUCGGCUCGACGUGGAGUUGCGUUAUACAACCGGGUGCGUGAUCCCACAGAUCGGAAGAGGUUUAGAUAGGCCUCCAUCCUUAACCGAGGAUUAAGUCAUGACCUGAACAGAUUGACUGACAUUCGGUAUCCGGCGGAACAUGGUUCCAAAGGGGCGCUGAUUGACGCAUUGUUUCAUAUCCCAAGCCCGAUGGGGCCGUGAGAUUAAGCCAUCGUGGCAGGUGCUCACGUUAAACCAUUCCGACUUUCAUGUCCCUAUCUACUAUCUAGCGAAACCACAGCCAAGGGAACGGGCUUGGAAUAAUUAGCGGGGAAAGAAGACCCUUUUGAGCUUGACUCUAAUCUGGCAGUGUAAGGAGACAUAAGAGGUGUAGAAUAAGUGGGAGAUAUUAGACUUCGGUUUGGUAUCGACAAUGAAAUACCACUACUCUUAUUGUUUCCUUACUUACUUGAUUAAAUGGAACGUGUAUCAUUUCCUAGCCAUUAUACGGAUAUAUUUAUUAUAUCUUAUGGUAUUGGGUUUUGAUGCAAGCUUCUUGAUCAAAGUAUCACGAGUUUGUUAUAUAAUCGCAAACAAAUUCUUUAAUGAGACGAUGCAUUUAUGUAUUUUUGAUUUGAAAAUUUGGUAUAACUCCAAUUACUCAGGUAUGAUCCAAUUCAAGGACAUUGCCAGGUAGGGAGUUUGACUGGGGCGGUACAUCUCUCAAAUAAUAACGGAGGUGUCCCAAGGCCAGCUCAGUGCGGACAGAAACCACACAUAGAGCAAAAGGGCAAAUGCUGACUUGAUCUCGGUGUUCAGUACACACAGGGACAGCAAAAGCUCGGCCUAUCGAUCCUUUUGGUUUAAAGAGUUUUUAACAAGAGGUGUCAGAAAAGUUACCAUAGGGAUAACUGGCUUGUGGCGGCCAAGCGUUCAUAGCGACGUCGCUUUUUGAUCCUUCGAUGUCGGCUCUUCCUAUCAUUGUGAAGCAAAAUUCACCAAGCGUUGGAUUGUUCACCCAUGCAAGGGAACGUGAGCUGGGUUUAGACCGUCGUGAGACAGGUUAGUUUUACCCUACUAAUGACAAAACGUUGUUGCGACAGCAUUCCUGCGUAGUACGAGAGGAACCGCAGGUACGGACCAAUGGCACAAUACUUGUUCGAGCGAACAGUGGUAUGACGCUACGUCCGUUGGAUUAUGCCUGAACGCCUCUAAGGUCGUAUCCGUGCUGGACUGCAAUGAUAAAUAAGGGGCAAUUUGCAUUGUAUGGCUUCUAAACCAUUUAAAGUUUGUAAUUCAUUUUAUAAACGACAAUGGAUGUGAUGCCAAUGUAAUUUGUAACAUAGUAAAUUGGGAGGAUCUUUGAUCACCUGGUGCCGCGCUAGUUACAUAUAAAAGCAUUAUUU